AGAGUUUGAUCCUGGCUCAGAUUGAACGCUGGCGGCAUGCCUUACACAUGCAAGUCGAGCGGCAGCGCGGGGGCAACCCUGGCGGCGAGCGGCGAACGGGUGAGUAAUGCAUCGGAACGUGUCCUCUUGUGGGGGAUAACCAGUCGAAAGACUGGCUAAUACCGCAUGAGAUCGAGAGAUGAAAGCGGGGGACCAGUAAUGGCCUCGCGCUCGCGGAGUGGCCUAUCUCCGAUUAGCUAGUUGGUGAGGUAAAGGCUUACCAAGGCGACGAUCGGUAGCUGGUCUGAGAGGAUGAUCAGCCACACUGGGACUGAGACACGGCCCAGACUCCUACGGGAGGCAGCAGUGGGGAAUUUUGGACAAUGGGGGCAACCCUGAUCCAGCCAUGCCGCGUGCGGGAAGAAGGCCUUCGGGUUGUAAACCGCUUUUAUUCGGGAAGAAGGAGUGCUGGUUAAUACCCGGCAUGACGGACGGUACUGGAUGAAUAAGNCACCGGCUAACUACGUGCCAGCAGCCGCGGGUAAUACGUAGGGUGCGAGCGUUAAUCGGAAUUACUGGGCGUAAAGCGUGCGUAGGCGGUUGGCNAAGUCAGCUGUGAAAGCCCCGGACUNNCCUGGGNAAUGGCGGUUGAAACUUANUCGACUANAAUCUGGCAGGAGGGGGGUGGGAAUUCCACNUGUANCANUGANAUGCGGUAGAAAUGUGGAGGAACNCCGAUGG
This 720-nucleotide ribosomal RNA is filed under the name uncultured bacterium. RNAcentral's name for it is "bacterial SSU rRNA". It matches the Rfam family "Bacterial small subunit ribosomal RNA", at positions 8 to 715 of the family's 1533-position model. The record is from RNAcentral.